AAAUAAAAAUAAAAUAAAGGUAUCCAUGCUUGAGUUCUUAAAUAACAUCUCCUAUCCAUGUAUAAGAACUGUGUUUUGAAGCAUAUUUGAAUGCCAAAUGUUUGUUGAAAUGUCUGAUAGAAAAUCUAAUAGCCUAUGUGCAAAUAAAUUUUAGCUACUACACAUUGCCAAACUAAUUGGGCUAACUUUAAAACAAUUCAUUAUUAUUGUCUCUUUUACCUUCCACAAACUUUUAUGCUUAAAGCUUUAACAUAAUAUGUAAUUCAUAUCUGAUUAUUUUAAGAAUUCCAUUAACUUCAAACACACAGCAUGGUCAAAAUAUAAGCUAUUUUGAUAAGAAUCUACCCCAGAGUGAGUAGAUUCUAUGAGAAAUACCUAAUUCGAGGCAACUGGCCUCCAAGAAUGAGAAAUAAGAUUUAGAGAGAAUAGAGAAGAUCAGGAGACAAACUGUUGCUUAUUUCAUUCAAUGGUCCUUACAAUCACCACUCUAGCAAACCACUUAUAUCCAUUUUUCUUGAGGAUUCAAAGCUAUUCCAAGUAAAGCCAUGUAUGUUGCAUUCUAACAACCUAUCUAACUAACUAACUGAUAGCAACUAACAGGUGUUAACAGCUUCUAUGGUAAACGACUAACAAUUCCCUAACUCUAAUGCAACGGCUUAGGACAGGUGUAUGCUAGGCAACAUCAACAAUAAUAGCUAUGGCAGCAACUCAACUUCAGCAGUAACAUCACAGGAUUUAUGAUGGCUGAACCAAUGCUCAUGGUUGGUGGCAAUAAUGCUCAACUUAAGUUGCUGCAUAGCUGAUGUUGGUACUGCUUUUGGAGGCUUAAGUAGCUACAUAAUUGCUGGUGUUGUUGUUGGAGGCGUAAUGGAUGCUUUGAUUGAUUUGGGAUAGCCAAAGAAAUUUUUGCGGAUUCUUUUCCAAAUUUUUUUGAAACAUAGUGAUGCAGCGGAUUUAUAAAGACCAAUGGACUUAAAUGACUUCAUAAGUCAUCUAUUCAAGAUGUCAACUGUGAUAUAAUGUAUGCGAAGAUCUUGGACAUAACAAAUUAUAAUUGAACUGAACGAUCUCUUACACCUAUCUCCAUUCAAUUUAGGAGAUACUAUUGGAACAAUUUAUUCUUUUAUGUUGUAUUGUAUUUAGUAGAAUUUCAUGGACAAUGAUUGUGAAUUGAUAUUGUAUGUGUAGUAUCUAAUAGUGAUUUUUUAAAUUAUAUAAUUAAUAGCACUGUAAUGAGAAACUUGGUAUAA
Molecule: long non-coding RNA, 1250 nt
Organism: Quercus robur (English oak)
Lineage: Eukaryota; Viridiplantae; Streptophyta; Magnoliopsida; Fagales; Fagaceae
Exons: 5
Source: RefSeq, a predicted model, not a curated record